Molecule: long non-coding RNA, 406 nt
Filed under: Heterocephalus glaber (naked mole-rat)
Lineage: Eukaryota; Metazoa; Chordata; Mammalia; Rodentia; Bathyergidae
Description: lncRNA (ENSHGLG00000040839.1)
Source: RNAcentral
GGGGCGGCCCUCAGGGCCUCCGCCCGGCCCAGAUCGGCCUGCGCAGGGCCCGCGCCCUCGACGAGGAAUCACUGUGUAGCCCAGGCUGGCCUCGACCUCACAGCGAUCCUCCCGCCUCAGCCACCAGAAAGAAAGCGGCACCCCAGUGGUCUCAGUGCUCGGGAGGCUGAGGCGGGAGGAUCGCUGUGAGUCUGAGGCCAGUUGGACCCUACCUCAGAAAACUACAAAUAAGUGUUUACGUAUGUUCGUGCACCCUAAAAGCUCAGUAUUUGUUGGUGUAACGGUUAAACCCUGCUGACUGUGCCUUUAACUCUGAAAAUCGUGCACUGCAGCCUGGAGAACUGCUCCUGACCGGCAUCACUGCUCUCCAGGACCUCAGUGUCCAGCCCAGGGGCCACCCGGCCGC